GAGUUUGAUCCUGGCUCAGAACGAACGCUGGCGGCAUGCCUAACACAUGCAAGUCGAACGGGAUCCAGGCUUCGGCCUGGUGAGAGUGGCGGACGGGUGAGUAACGCGUGGGAACCUGCCCAAUGGUCUGGGAUAACCGCGGGAAACUGCGGCUAAUACCGGAUAAGCCCGAGAGGGGAAAGAUUUAUCGCCGAUGGAGGGGCCCGCGUCCGAUUAGGUAGUUGGUGAGGUAACGGCUCACCAAGCCGACGAUCGGUAGCUGGUCUGAGAGGAUGAUCAGCCACACUGGGACUGAGAUACGGCCCAGACUCCUACGGGAGGCAGCAGUGGGGAAUAUUGGACAAUGGGGGCAACCCUGAUCCAGCAAUGCCGCGUGAGUGAUGAAGGCCUUAGGGUUGUAAAGCUCUUUUGGCGGGGACGAUGAUGACGGUACCCGCAGAAUAAGCCCCGGCUAACUUCGU
RNAcentral lists this ribosomal RNA (461 nucleotides) under uncultured Alphaproteobacteria bacterium. Its description in RNAcentral is "bacterial SSU rRNA". It matches the Rfam family "Bacterial small subunit ribosomal RNA", at positions 9 to 506 of the family's 1533-position model. Lineage: Bacteria; Pseudomonadati; Pseudomonadota; Alphaproteobacteria. The record is from RNAcentral.